Molecule: ribosomal RNA, 253 nt
Filed under: uncultured bacterium
Lineage: Bacteria
Description: partial 16S ribosomal RNA
Rfam family: Bacterial small subunit ribosomal RNA
Source: RNAcentral
UACAGAGGGGGCAAGCGUUGUUCGGAAUUACUGGGCGUAAAGGGCGCGUAGGCGGCCUGCUAAGUCGAUCGUGAAAUCCCCGGGCUUAACCCGGGAACUGCGACCGAUACUGGUUGGCUUGAAUUCGGGAGAGGGAUGCGGAAUUCCAGGUGUAGCGGUGAAAUGCGUAGAUAUCUGGAGGAACACCGGUGGCGAAGGCGGCAUCCUGGACCGGCAUUGACGCUGAGGCGCGAAAGCGUGGGGAGCAAACAGG